UACAGAGGGCGCGAGCGUUGUCCGGAAUCACUGGGCGUAAAGGGCGCGUAGGUGGCCACCAUAAGGCCGCGGUGAAAGUUCGGGGCUCAACCCCGGAUCGGCCGCGGCGACUGUGGGGCUCGGGUACUGUAGAGGCAGAUGGAAUUCCGGGUGUAGCGGUGGAAUGCGUAGAGAUCCGGAAGAACACCAGUGGCGAAGGCGGUCUGCUGGGCAGUGGGAUCGGAAGGUCCCUUCGAACCGACACGU
RNAcentral lists this ribosomal RNA (246 nucleotides) under uncultured bacterium. RNAcentral's name for it is "partial 16S ribosomal RNA". It matches the Rfam family "Bacterial small subunit ribosomal RNA", at positions 524 to 770 of the family's 1533-position model. The record is from RNAcentral.